UCCACUAAUCCGCAACGUGAAUGAAGUUAAUUUCCAUGGUAGGCCUCAUCUUGGCCUUGUCUGGGGCUGCUUUGGGCCUAAGACAUAAAAUCUGUGGUCAAGAGCCAGCCAACAGCGGCCGUUGCCGUGCCUUAAUAGAAUCUUAUACCUAUUAUUCCGACACGAACGAGUGUGCAUUGUUCGAUUACGGCGGAUGCGAGGGGAACGAGAAUCGUUUCAUGAGGAAAGCGGAAUGCGAGUCAAAAUGCAGAGAAUAAUUCAUUGUUUUUUAUUCUUAGUUCAUCAAAAGUUGUACGAAUAAACGGAUAUUCAAUUGAUAAA
Long non-coding RNA from Drosophila persimilis, 321 nucleotides. RefSeq lists it as uncharacterized. Lineage: Eukaryota; Metazoa; Arthropoda; Insecta; Diptera; Drosophilidae. The record is from RefSeq and is a predicted model, not a curated record. The transcript is spliced from 2 exons.